UGGAACCCUUGCAUUCUUCUUGGCCAAAAGGUUAUGCAAGACUUAGACACCUACUUCUCUGUAACCUCUUGGGCAAGUGUUGGCUUUGCUGCAUAAAAGGACAAGGUAAAACGUCCACAACUCUCUUCCAAUGAUCAAGUUCCCAUAAUUCUGAAUGGAGCCUCUGGUUGCACCUGAGAAGCUUUGCAAGGAUGGUUGAAACCCAAACCUUCAUAGUUGAAGCCCAAACUUUUAUAUACACCAGGCUCCAUCAUGGGCUUCCAAAACAGCACACUUUUUGGUGAACAAUUGUUGCCAAACACCAAGUAUCCUCUUGUUUAAGCCUCACCAUAUAAUCUUGUUCUAUAAUUUUUGGUGAACAAUUUUUGCCUUUUUGUACUUCAUAUGAUAAUGCUGGUAGUUUGAAAAAAAAAGACUAUACCGCAUUUUGAGAAGAAGAAACACAAAUUAUAUGCG
Molecule: long non-coding RNA, 456 nt
Filed under: Elaeis guineensis (African oil palm)
Lineage: Eukaryota; Viridiplantae; Streptophyta; Magnoliopsida; Arecales; Arecaceae
Description: long non-coding RNA (EGUI_LNC029978)
Source: RNAcentral